Molecule: ribosomal RNA, 253 nt
Filed under: uncultured bacterium
Lineage: Bacteria
Description: partial 16S ribosomal RNA
Rfam family: Bacterial small subunit ribosomal RNA
Source: RNAcentral
AACGUAGGAGACAAACGUUAUCCGGAGUUACUGGGCGUAAAGGGCGUGCAGGUGGUCUGUUAAGUCUGGCGUGAAAGCUCCUGGCUAAACCGUGAGAGGUCGUUGGAUACUGGCGGACUAGAGGACGGUAGAGGCGUGUGGAAUUCCGGGUGUAGUGGUGAAAUGCGUAGAGAUCCGGAGGAACACCAGUGGCGAAGGCGACACGCUGGGCCGUACCUGACACUGAUACGCGACAGCAUGGGGAGCGAACGGG